Molecule: ribosomal RNA, 240 nt
Filed under: Triticum aestivum (bread wheat)
Lineage: Eukaryota; Viridiplantae; Streptophyta; Magnoliopsida; Poales; Poaceae
Description: partial small subunit ribosomal RNA
Source: RNAcentral
AUGGAUUUUAGCCCAUCGAUCCUAUGUUGGAACGUGAGAGGAUUAAACAACCCAGCGAAGAGAGAUGCAAUUAGGGCGUUCGUUGCCACCGUGAAAGUGAAUGUAAUUUGUCUGCAAGAAACUAAGAUAGAAGUCAUUGACCGUUACACUGUGUUGCAAUGCCUCGGGUCGGCCUUCGAUGGCUUUGCUUUUCUGCCCGCGGCAGAUACGAGAGGUGGAGUUCUCAUCGCUUGGGAUUCG